This 451-nucleotide ribosomal RNA is filed under the name uncultured bacterium. Its description in RNAcentral is "bacterial SSU rRNA". It matches the Rfam family "Bacterial small subunit ribosomal RNA", at positions 29 to 524 of the family's 1533-position model. The record is from RNAcentral.
AACGAACGCUGGCGGCAUGCCUAACACAUGCAAGUCGAACGAGACCUUCGGGUCUAGUGGCGCACGGGUGCGUAACGCGUGGGAACCUGCCUUUAGGUUCGGAAUAACUCAGAGAAAUUUGAGCUAAUACCGGAUAAUGUCUUCGGACCAAAGAUUUAUCGCCUUUAGAUGGGCCCGCGUAAGAUUAGCUAGUUGGUGGGGUAAAGGCCUACCAAGGCGACGAUCUUUAGCUGGUCUGAGAGGAUGAUCAGCCACACUGGGACUGAGACACGGCCCAGACUCCUACGGGAGGCAGCAGUGGGGAAUAUUGGACAAUGGGCGAAAGCCUGAUCCAGUAAUGCCGCGUGAGUGAUGAAGGCCUUAGGGUUGUAAAGCUCUUUUACCCGUAGAUGAUAAUGACAGUAUCGGGAGAAUAAGCUCCGGCUAACUCCGUGCCAGCAGCCGCGGUAAU